CAGUGAUAUGGUUCUUGAAUCUUGCA
This 26-nucleotide non-coding RNA is filed under the name Rattus norvegicus (Norway rat). Lineage: Eukaryota; Metazoa; Chordata; Mammalia; Rodentia; Muridae. The record is from RNAcentral.